UGGGAACUGCGUUNUGAACUGGGUGACUAGAGUGUGUCAGAGGGAGGUAGAAUNCCACGUGUAGCAGUGAAAUGCGUAGAGAUGUGGAGGAAUACCGAUGGCGAAGGCAGCCUCCUGGGAUAACACUGACGUUCAUGCCCGAAAGCGUGGGUAGCAAACAGGAUUAGAUACCCUGGUAGUCCACGCCCUAAACGAUGUCGAUUAGCUGUUGGGCAGCAUGACUGCUUAGUAGCGAAGCUAACGCGUGAAAUCGACCGCCUGGGGAGUACGGUCGCAAGAUUAAAACUCAAAGGAAUUGACGGGGACCCGCACAAGCGGUGGAUGAUGUGGAUUAAUUCGAUGCAACGCGAAGAACCUUACCUGGUCUUGACAUGUACGGAACCCUCCAGAGACGGAGGGGUGCCUUCGGGAGCCGUAACACAGGUGCUGCAUGGCUGUCGUCAGCUCGUGUCGUGAGAUGUUGGGUUAAGUCCCGCAACGAGCGCAGCCCUUGUCAUUAGUUGCCAUCAUUAAGUUGGGCACUCUAAUGAGACUGCCGGUGACAAGCCGGAGGAAGGUGGGGAUGACGUCAAGUCCUCAUGGCCCUUAUGACCAGGGCUUCACACGUCAUACAAUGGUCGGUACAGAGGGUAGCCAAGCCGCGAGGUGGAGCCAAUCUCACAAAACCGAUCGUAGUCCGGAUUGCACUCUGCAACUCGAGUGCAUGAAGUCGGAAUCGCUAGUAAUCGCAGGUCAGCAUACUGCGGUGAAUACGUUCCCGGGUCUUGUACACACCGCCCGUCACACCAUGGGAGUGGGGGAUACCAGAAGUAG
Molecule: ribosomal RNA, 813 nt
Filed under: uncultured bacterium
Lineage: Bacteria
Description: bacterial SSU rRNA
Rfam family: Bacterial small subunit ribosomal RNA
Source: RNAcentral